GACGAACGCUGGCGGCGUGCUUAACACAUGCGAGUCGAACGGAAAGGCCCUGCUUUUGUGGGGUGCUCGAGUGGCGAACGGGUGAGUAACACGUGAGUAACCUGCCCUUGACUUUGGGAUAACUUCAGGAAACUGGGGCUAAUACCGGAUAGGAGCUCCUGCUGCAUGGUGGGGGUUGGAAAGUUUCGGCAGUUGGGGAUGGACUCGCGGCUUAUCAGCUUGUUGGUGGGGUAGUGGCUUACCAAGGCUUUGACGGGUAGCCGGCCUGAGAGGGUGACCGGCCACAUUGGGACUGAGAUACGGCCCAGACUCCUACGGGAGGCAGCAGUGGGGAAUAUUGCACAAUGGGCGGAAGCCUGAUGCAGCAACGCCGCGUGCGGGAUGACGGCCUUCGGGUUGUAAACCGCUUUCGCCUGUGACGAAGCGUGAGUGACGGUAAUGGGUAAAGAAGCACCGGCUAACUACGUG
RNAcentral lists this ribosomal RNA (468 nucleotides) under uncultured bacterium. Its description in RNAcentral is "partial 16S ribosomal RNA". It matches the Rfam family "Bacterial small subunit ribosomal RNA", at positions 28 to 507 of the family's 1533-position model. The record is from RNAcentral.